GACGAACGCUGGCGGCGUGCCUAAUACAUGCAAGUCGAGCGCAGGAAACUGACGGAACUCUUCGGAGGGAAGGCAGCGGAAUGAGCGGCGGACGGGUGGGUAACACGUAAGGAACCUGCCUCAAGGAUUGGGAUAACUCCGAGAAAUCGGAGCUAAUACCGGAUAGUUCAUCGGACCGCAUGGUCCGCUGAUGAAAGGCGCUCCGGCGUCACCUUGAGAGGGCCUUGCGGUGCAUUAGCUAGUUGGUGGGGUAACGGCCCACCAAGGCGACGAUGCAUAGCCGACCUGAGAGGGUGAUCGGCCACACUGGGACUGAGACACGGCCCAGACUCCUACGGGAGGCAGCAGUAGGGAAUCUUCCACAAUGGACGAAAGUCUGAUGGAGCAACGCCGCGUGAGUGAUGAAGGUUUUCGGAUCGUAAAACUCUGUUGUAGGGGAAGAACACGUACGAGAGGGAAUGCUCGUACCUUGACGGUACCUUACGAGAAAGCCACGGCUAACUACGUGCCAGCCGCCGCGGUAA
This 524-nucleotide ribosomal RNA is filed under the name uncultured bacterium. Its description in RNAcentral is "partial 16S ribosomal RNA". It matches the Rfam family "Bacterial small subunit ribosomal RNA", at positions 28 to 523 of the family's 1533-position model. The record is from RNAcentral.